This 461-nucleotide ribosomal RNA is filed under the name uncultured Clostridium sp. Its description in RNAcentral is "bacterial SSU rRNA". It matches the Rfam family "Bacterial small subunit ribosomal RNA", at positions 8 to 484 of the family's 1533-position model. The record is from RNAcentral. Lineage: Bacteria; Bacillati; Bacillota; Clostridia; Eubacteriales; Clostridiaceae.
AGAGUUUGAUCCUGGCUCAGGACGAACGCUGGCGGCGUGCCUAACACAUGCAAGUCGAGCGAUGAAGUUUCCUUCGGGAAACGGAUUAGCGGCGGACGGGUGAGUAACACGUGGGUAACCUGCCUUAUAGUGGGGGAUAGCCUUUCGAAAGGAAGAUUAAUACCGCAUAAGAUUGUAGUAUCGCAUGAUAUAGCAAUUAAAGGAGCAAUUCGCUAUAAGAUGGACCCGCGUCGCAUUAGCUAGUUGGUGAGGUAAUGGCUCACCAAGGCGACGAUGCGUAGCCGACCUGAGAGGGUGAUCGGCCACAUUGGGACUGAGACACGGCCCAGACUCCUACGGGAGGCAGCAGUGGGGAAUAUUGCACAAUGGGCGAAAGCCUGAUGCAGCAACGCCGCGUGAGUGAUGACGGCCUUCGGGUUGUAAAACUCUGUCUUCAGGGACGAUAAUGACGGUACCUGAGG